UACGUAGGUGGCAAGCGUUGUCCGGAUUUAUUGGGUUUAAAGGGUGCGUAGGUGGCUUUGUAAGUCAGCGGUGAAACUCUGGAGCUUAACUCCAGACCGGCCAUUGAUACUGCAGAGCUUGAGUUCGAACGAGGUAGGCGGAAUUGACGGUGUAGCGGUGAAAUGCAUAGAUAUCGUCAAGAACACCAAUAGCGAAGGCAGCUUACUAGA
This 210-nucleotide ribosomal RNA is filed under the name uncultured bacterium. RNAcentral describes it as "partial 16S ribosomal RNA". It matches the Rfam family "Bacterial small subunit ribosomal RNA", at positions 524 to 733 of the family's 1533-position model. The record is from RNAcentral.